CGAACACAUGUCAGACAAGUAAAUUUUUUUAAAACUUUUCUCCUAUGAUCCAACACUUGUAAUUAAAUCAAUGUAAAGACAGAUUUGUACAAACUAACUAAACAUACUAGUCCUGUAUAUACCACCAACAUUUAUUGAGUUAGACACUUUUAUAUAGCCCUAGAAACUAUCAGUUGUUUUCCAACAGAAAGAAGCUUAUAAAACAGUUUAAAAUUGAGGAUUAAUAAAAUUCUCUUUUGUGAGGAAGUCUGGCAUUCUUGGUAUGUAGACAAUUUGAAGAAUGAACAAGUACUGUGUGUGACACAUCAUCAGACGCAUCUUAGUUCUUCCCUUUUAAAUUUGAACUUAGAUUACCAGAUGUUAAUUACGCAGAAGCCUAAGCAAAAUGAUGUGGAAAACAUCGGACAGGAAGGAAAAUUACAUUUUAAUUCCACACAUUAAGUUCAAGAAACCUAAAGUAUGAGACCAAAAGAAGCCUAGCCCAGUCCCAUCUAACUUGCUCAAAAUCCUGCGCUGGGUGAACAGAUUCGCCCCAGUGCCUACAGAGAACUAGUCACUUCAGUCUAGGAUGAAAAACAAUUUAAACGUUUAGCUGUCUGUGCCUUUGGCAUUAAGAAGCAUUACAUACAGAUGAUACAUCAGGAAUUUGGGUGUUUUCCCAACUGCUACAAAGCAGGCAUCGCUAUCAGCCCAGGAUCCAGAGCCCUACAGCCUUCCCGGCAGGGAAGUGCCAGCCAGGUGGCAGCUUUCCAGAAAUGAAGCUUCAAGGGGCUACUGCUUGUCAGCUGUGCUGCAGUAACGUCCUGUGGGAAAACCUCUCCUUUACCUCGUGCAGAUUUGACAGUAGCCGUAUGUGUUACUGAAGACAAAGGGAAGACCUAAUUGCUGAAGUCAUAACGAUGUGGCCUCUUCUGAUACAUCUUCUGCCAGAUGCUUUGCUCCUUUUCAGGAGCCUGUUCCAUCUUCAGACAAGUACACAGAGAAGACAAAGAGGUGAUGGCAGAAUUUUAAAUUGAAAUCAGGGCUUUGACUACAUCAAAAGCAAAAGACUUUUUUUUCCUACUGCUUAUGCCUAUUGUUUAUAUUUUGACUCAAGAACUGUUCAUUUGAUAGCAAUAACCACAGGAAAAAAGUAGUUUUCACUGUGCCUUAAGAAAAACUACACUUCCAGAGUGUCAGGUGUCCUGGACUUCUGGAAUAGUUCUCUCAAUUUUCUAAAUCUGUGGGCCAAGAGACACAGUAUAAAAAAUAAAUGAUUAUAUAUAUAUAACAUUAUUUUUAUAUGAUAACUCAAUUACCCCUAGAAACCAUUGAAUGAUUCUUAACAGAAUCACACCUGUAUGCUGCCUAUAUAGGGUAUUUUCUGAUCCAGCAGUGAUAUAAACUAUCACUGUUGCGGGUACCUUUUUUCCACUGACUAUAUGGAUAUGCAUCCAUGGCUGUGACUCCUGAGUAACAGGUUCCAAAUACGGAGAAUAGUGCAUGUAUAUCCAAGGACACAGCCUAGUAAAGACAGAGCCUGCUGGAUACAGUUUGUGAACUGGUUUGGUUUUUUUUCCUUAAGUAACACCCCCUCUCUAAAGCCUCAGCUAACCUGUACAAUCACUGCUAUUUUUAAACAAGAUGGCCAAAGAUAAUUUUUAGAUACAAUGAUUAAAGAAAACAAAUGUUAUCUCCACACCACCCCCCACAUAAAUUGCAAGCUGUAAAUAUAAAUCAGUUUGCUUCUAGAGAAGGAAAAAAAAAUGCUGCUUUUGAACAGCUGGGCUCAGUAAGAGAUUGGUUUCCCCAUUGACUGUACUUUCCCUGCAGCCCUCAAAGCAGAUUCUGUGCUCUAAGUGCAGUAGAUACUUACAGCACUCUAUAAAUAAAUGCUACUAUGUGCAACUACUUCUGAUUAAAAACCUGUGUAA
Long non-coding RNA from Cygnus atratus (black swan), 1913 nucleotides. RefSeq lists it as uncharacterized. Lineage: Eukaryota; Metazoa; Chordata; Aves; Anseriformes; Anatidae. The record is from RefSeq and is a predicted model, not a curated record. The transcript is spliced from 3 exons.